This is a long non-coding RNA of Daphnia pulicaria, 354 nucleotides long. RefSeq lists it as uncharacterized. NCBI's taxonomy places the organism in Eukaryota, Metazoa, Arthropoda, Branchiopoda, Diplostraca, Daphniidae. The transcript is spliced from 3 exons. The record is from RefSeq and is a predicted model, not a curated record.
AAAGAUACGUUAAAAUUUCUUCUUAAAGAGAAAGAUAUCGAAGACCAGGGACCAAACUUAGUUACUGUGGAAGAACCACUAACAUCACCUGUCCCAUUAGCAGUAAAACACGUUGUUGACGAGGAAGACCCUCUCCAGCAAGAAGUAGAAAUCACAGAAAAAUAAUUUAAAACAUGAAAAUUGGGAAAAGAUGUAGAGAAACAGCCAAAGAAUUGCUUGAUCAACUAACGACUGCUGAUGCUUUGAACUUUGAGGUAUGUGAUCGAAUUAACGUACACAUGGACAUGGAGAAUUGUGAGAGGAUACACUACCGUAAUGGUAAGGAACAAGAAAAAAUUACAAAAUCAAUUUGCC